RNAcentral lists this unclassified non-coding RNA (520 nucleotides) under uncultured Entrophospora. RNAcentral describes it as "SSU rRNA". It matches the Rfam family "Eukaryotic small subunit ribosomal RNA", at positions 569 to 1087 of the family's 1831-position model. Lineage: Eukaryota; Fungi; Glomeromycota; Glomeromycetes; Entrophosporales; Entrophosporaceae. The record is from RNAcentral.
AGCAGCCGCGGUAAUUCCAGCUCCAAUAGCGUAUAUUAAAGUUGUUGCAGUUAAAAAGCUCGUAGUUGAAUUUCGGGAUUGGCGCAUCGGUCGUGCCUCACGGGGUAUGAACUGGUGCAGUCAAUUUCUCACCUUCUGGAGAACCGCGAUGUCCUUAAUUGGAUGCCGCGGGGAACCAGGACCUUUACUUUGAAAAAUUAGAGUGUUUAAAGCAGGCAUUUUUGCUUGAAUACAUUAGCAUGGAAUAAUAAAAUAGGACGGCAUGGUUCUAUUUUGUUGGUUUCUAGGACCACCGUAAUGAUUAAUAGGGAUAGUUGGGGGCAUUAGUAUUCAAUUGUCAGAGGUGAAAUUCUUGGAUUUAUUGAAGACUAACUACUGCGAAAGCAUUUGCCAAGGAUGUUUUCAUUAAUCAAGAACGAAAGUUAGGGGAUCGAAGACGAUCAGAUACCGUCGUAGUCUUAACCAUAAACUAUGCCGACUAGGAAUCAGACGAUGUUAAUUUUUAAUGACUCGUUGCACC